GAAUAUUGGACAAUGGGGGGAACCCUGAUCCAGCCAUGCCGCGUGGGUGAAGAAGGCCUUUUGGUUGUAAGGCACUUUAGGCGAGGAGGAGGCCACUCUGGUUAAUACCUAGAGAAGGUGGAGGUUACUCGAAGAUUAAGCACGGCCUACCCCGUUCCCACCAGCCGCGGUAAUACGGAGGGUGCAAGCGUUAAUCGGAUUUACUGGGCGUAAAGCGCGCGUAGGUGGCCAAUUAAGUCAAAUGUGAAAUCCCCGAGCUUUACUUGGGAAUUGCAUUCGAUACUGGUUGGCUAGAGUAUGGGAGAGGAUGGUAGAAUUCCAGGUGUAGCGGUGAAAUGCGUAGAGAUCUGGAGGAAUACCGAUGGCGAAGGCAGCCAUCUGGCCUAAUACUGACACUGAGGUGCGAAAGCAUGGGGAGCAAAC
This 423-nucleotide ribosomal RNA is filed under the name uncultured bacterium. RNAcentral describes it as "partial 16S ribosomal RNA". It matches the Rfam family "Bacterial small subunit ribosomal RNA", at positions 359 to 773 of the family's 1533-position model. The record is from RNAcentral.